This 375-nucleotide unclassified non-coding RNA is filed under the name fungal sp. RNAcentral's name for it is "partial internal transcribed spacer region". The stretch from base 1 to 46 matches the Rfam family "Eukaryotic small subunit ribosomal RNA", at positions 1786 to 1831 of the family's 1831-position model. The record is from RNAcentral. Lineage: Eukaryota; Fungi.
AAGUCGUAACAAGGUUUCCGUAGGUGAACCUGCGGAAGGAUCAUUAAAACGUAUCCAACGUUAACUAAUUGCGAACUCGUUCCUCCCUUGGUAUUAAGAAAUUGGAGCUAUAGAGGACUUUGUGUGAGAUCUUUAACUAGGUCAGUCUGAAGUAGUCACUGACACUUUCGGGUGUCGACAAGAGUAUUUUUAUCAAGGCAUUUCUUUCUGUCACUGGCUUUCACUCAUGCCGGGGCGGGGGGAGUACUACAUAAACCCUUAUCACCCUUUUUUGCUAGUUGACUUUUUUAAUGUUAAUUUUUACGAAAGUAGAGAUUACACGUUUCAUUAUUUGAACGUAAAAUACAACUCUUAGCAAUGGAUAUCUAGGUUCUC